This 71-nucleotide transfer RNA is filed under the name Loxodonta africana (African savanna elephant). It matches the Rfam family "tRNA". Rfam says of the family: Transfer RNA (tRNA) molecules are approximately 80 nucleotides in length. Lineage: Eukaryota; Metazoa; Chordata; Mammalia; Proboscidea; Elephantidae. The record is from Rfam by way of RNAcentral.
GCAUUGGUGGUUCAGUGGUAAAAUUCUCACUUUCCAUGUGGGAAACUCGUGUUUGAUUCCCAACUAAUACA